CGCACUUUGCUUCAAUUUUUGCACUUUUAGCAGUGACUGACAGCAUUUUUAAGGAAAAAAGCUGUGAAGGCAAUAUUUAGCCAAUGGAAAGGCAGAAAAGAAAGAAAAAAAACGCAUGGCUAAAACCCAGACAUGAUGAUUUUCCUUCUAGGUAGGUACACCUUUUUUUUAGGCCGAGAUGAUGGAUGGAAAGUGCGCAAAAAUUACCUCACGUGAUAGAACAUCUAUGCUGGAUAUUACGCGAUAACGAGUCGGAAUCGUGUUUUCUGUAGUUGACUUCUUCCAUUUGGUCAUGGCAGUCAAGCGGUGCUGCGUUAUGAUUUUGUUGGUGAUCUUGCUCAUGGCAAUCCAGUGUUCGGAGUCACUAACAACAGCGGAGGCAAGGCAGAUCUUUACUCAAUCUUUAAAGUCGGAUCCGUGCCGUGGAGGCCGCGGAGCACCAUGUCUUGAGCCUCCAGAUUUUCGGUUCCAAGAGUGCGAUGAGGCAUUCGCGUCCAUCAAGACGCUAGCCGAGGCGGGAGCAAGCGAUGUCCACGCGCACUGCAAGAGCGCGACGUUUGCUAGUUGUCGGCCGAUGAAGCAGUGCUUAUAUUUAUAUUACAAAUGCACUGCCGAGGUCACUUUGACUACCACUAAUGUGAGAGGAAUAGAAUCCGUGAAGAAGAAGGUUGUCUCGCUCAAAGACUGUAAAAAACCAACAGGAGGGCAAUGACGCCAAAAAGCUGUUAUUAAAAUAACUCUAAAUGCACUAAUUUCGUCAGUAUUCGUGUCUCGUACUUGCUGAUUGAAGCAAGAUAUAUGACUUGAAUUGCAUGGCAUUCCUGUGUUUAUUGUAUACUCUUAUAUCAAUGAAUUAAAAUAUAAUUCUCGAAAAACUUAAAAACUUUCGUUUGGUUUUUUUCAAACAGGUCCAGGUAUUGAUAAAACAUAGCCUCCUCAAGCCUCCGCGCCAAAUAAAUGUACAACAUUUUAGACUGCGACAGAAGACUGCCUGACGUCACUUUAGCAUUGAAUGUAAAUGAAGGAAUCAAGAUGGCAGAUCUUUUGUCGCCGCCUUGAAAUGCGCGUAAAUUCAUUUUGCGUGGACUCUACACUUCCGCCAAAAACUUAAAUGGUUCCUCACAACUAAACUCGGCCCGCCAUUAUCAUUUUUUUGAAGGCGACCAAAUGCUUAAGAUAAAUGCCUCCACAGUCAAUGAACUUAUGGUCAAAUUAGCGUUAUUGCCUCAUGAGCCAUGUAGAUUGUCGAUGAUUGCGGGAUCUAUCGGAUAUUUGGCAUACAUUUUAUGUAAGGAACUACUACUCAUUGGCGUGCGAAGGGAGCCACAGGGGCCUGGCCCCCUAAAAUUGAAAAUUGUAUCAUCAGUCCCCCCAGAAAUUCUGGAUGGUGGGAAAAAACCUUCGUUCAACCUUUCCUCAAAAUGGGUCCAAAUAGAUUUAAAAUUUCAAAAAAUUUCCAGGGGAAGCCCCCCGGACCCCCUCUAAAAAU
Molecule: long non-coding RNA, 1489 nt
Filed under: Bemisia tabaci
Lineage: Eukaryota; Metazoa; Arthropoda; Insecta; Hemiptera; Aleyrodidae
Description: lncRNA ENSSSA1UGG001220
Source: RNAcentral